UUUUUUUUUUUUUUUUUUUUUUUUUUGUCUUUUUAGGGCUGCACCUGCGGCAUAUGGACGUUCCCAGACCGGGGGUCAAAUCGGAGCUGCCACUACCAGCUUACACCACAGCCACAGCCAUGCCAGAUCUGAGCUGUGUCUGCGAACUACACCACAGCUCAUGGCAACGCUGGAUCCUUAGCCCAUUAAGUUAGGCCAGGGAUCGAACCCUUGUUCUUAUGGAUACUAGUCAGUUUCAUCACUGCUGAGCCAUGAUGGGAACUCCAGACACACUGAAUUUUUAGGAUGAAAUAAACCUUUUGCAUGCUCAUUGGAAUGAUAGCUACAGAGUAACUAUCUUCAGCUACUAGUUACUUCAGUAACUAUCUUCAGGGAGGAGAUGGCCAUGGUUGUGGUCCUCCAGGUAUCUUAGGAUGAAUGAUUAACCAGGUCCUAAAGGAUGUGGAUGAGUCCGCUCCACAGUUGUGUUUUGAGCACCACAGUGUCCUAGGGACUCCCCACACAGUCCAGUCACAGAGAGCACUUGGGGUCUCAGCAAAGGCUGAGAGCAGGGUGUAUCCGAGGGGCCCAGCCCUCCACAAGCAGAAGCAUGAACUGGGAGGGGCAGCCUUGUUUCUGAGGGAGCUGGGAGCAUCGACUCCCACCCGGGCCAACCUCCAUGAUUAGUAUGCGUGGAGGGGAGAGUAAUUAGAUGCUGCUCUUGGAGACGAGAUGCUCCCGUUCUUGAUGGUACCUGAUUAUCUAUUUCCUUGGGAGGAUGAAAGAAGGGUCCUUAGGAUUUCUGUCUGAGCCUGAGCUUGGCUCUCCUCUUCCCUUUAUGAGAGGCGACACAGAGGCCACUCUGCUGACCAGGAAGGUGCUUGGCUUCAUAUUAAUGGCUUUCUUUUAAAAGAACAAUGAGCCACCUUAACCCAUAGCCCAGCAGUUCCACACCCCGCCCAAGCCCUCAUGCAUAUUCAUCCUGCUUCAAAGAGCACAGCAUGGAAUAUGCAAAUUGGCCAGGCAGGCGCUGGUUGGCAUUUUGAUAAUAGCUUUGUCUGAAAAACCCCAGAGACAUGCACACAUACAUUUAGUUCCCUCUCUCUCUCCCUCCCUCUCUUUCUUUCCUUCCUCUAUCCUCUGUCUGCCUUCAUUCUCUCUUCCACUCCCCACCUGCCCAAGAACAGGAAAAUGAAUCACACAACCAGAGAAGCCAGUGUGUGAAAGGCCAGGUGUCUGCAUUCAAUCCCAGUGUAUUUCUACUUCUCUCUCCUCUCCUCCUUGAACAGAAUCUUUUUGUUUUUCCCAUCAAAGGUCCAGAUCUGACAAUGCCCCAGGCCUGCCCUCUGCUCUCAGUGGCCUCCCCGCUUUGUCUGGGGCCCAUUCUGGGCUCUAUCUCCCAGAGAUAAGCUUCCUUUUCCUUCUUCCUUCGUUCAACCUGGUUUUACUCUCAGUGGUCAAGACCAAAAAAAAUCCAAGAACCCGGCCUUGCCCUCUGAACAAGAGGAAAAGAGUCACCUACAGGGCCGAGAGUGCGGGAGGCUUAGAUGUCAGCUGUCAUCUCUGACAGAUCUCAGGACUCAGCCGUUCCUGACCUCACGCAUCCAUCCCCACGACACUUCUGAGCAAUCAUCAGCAAGGGCACAAUGGACCUUGCUGGUGCCCAUUUCUUUGUCCCAGUCCGUUGACAGUUCACAGUGUCUUCUCCGCCAGGACUAGCUUCCCCAGGCCCCUCCUGCAGCCCCAGCCCCCCUCCUAGAAAGGUAUGGAGAGCAAGGUCUUAAGGACCUAGGUCCUGCCACCUCCUGCUCCCCCAAGUGUAAAUGGUUCCAGUGGGAGCAGGUGGGCUCCUGUGGGAGAAACAGGCUAAAGCAUGGGUCCCAUAUCUUUGAAACUGUUUCAUCUGGGAGACUUAGAGGAGGAAAACCCUCAAGGAUUUCAGGGAAGAUGGGAGCUUCUGCCUUUGACCCUGAAGGCCAGGCCUGGUCAAGCCAAAGCUCAGAAGGCAAAGUACCUCAUAGGCAGAGCAUGGGUUUGGGGCUUAGGUUAAAAAAAUCCCAGCUCUACUACAUAUUUACUAAAUAAUUUUGAGAAAAGUUAAUUUCUCUGAGCCUGUCUCUUUAUUUUAGAAAUAGGAAUAUUAACAUUAAUAAUAAUGCCAGUAACUCAGUUGUUUUGAAUCAUUUACAGUAUCUUAUAUAUGCUAAAUGCUCAAUAAAUUCUGAUUUGUUUAUUUGGCUGAAAUCAUGCAUAUGGAAGUUCUUAGUCCAGGGAUCGAACCCCAGACACAGGAGUGAACCGAGCCACUGCCUUGGCAACUCUGGACCCUUAACCUGCUGUGCCACAAGGGAAUUCCACUUAUGACUUAUUUUUGCUGGUAAACGUCAAGGAAUGUAGAGAAAGGGCCAGGCCCACUGACUUCUUGAGCCUCAUUAUUUUUUCAAUCCAAUAGAUGCAGAAGACCUGAAAGCCAAACCAAAACAAGAUAGGAUGUGGGAGUUCCCGUCAUGGCGCAGUGGUUAACGAAUCCGACUAGGAACCAUGAGGUUUCGGGUUCGAUCCCUGCCUUUGCUCAGUGGGUUAAGGAUCAAGUGUUGCCGUGAGCUGUGAUGUAGGUCGCAGACGCGGCUUGGAUCCCGCGUUGCUGUGGCUCUGGCAUAGGCUGGCGGCUACAGCUCUGAUUAGACCCCUAGCCUGGGAACCUCCAUAUGCCGUGGGAGCAGCCCAAGAAAUGACAAAACAAACAAACAAACAAACAAACAAAGAUAGGAUGUGGCCUGUUCCCCUAGAUUCAGCCUCACCCCACCCUUCCUCCUCUCUAAAUCCUGCUUAGUGUUGGCCCAUCUGAUUCUAGAACCAGUGACUUCUGGGCUCUCCUGGACAAGGAGACAGGCAGAGCUGGACCAUAUUCUGGUUUCUCAGCAGGUCUAUUGGUGGGGAAGUGGGGGGGUGGGGGGUGGAGAGCAAAAAGUCAUAUUUAUUUUCAUUGUCAGGGAUACAGGUAGAGUGACAGAAGACGAAGCACACAGACCCCCCCAGACACACACACAGAAGCCUCACAUACUUUAUGAUCAGGCCGCACAGGUGGGGACAUGAGGAUUAAUUCAAGAGGCGUGAGGAAUUCCCAUUGUGGCACAGCAGUUAAGGAUCUGGCAUUGCUGCAGCUAUGGUAUAGGUCACAGCUAUGGCUUGGAUUUGUCUUUGGCCCAGGAACUUCUAUAUGCCAUGGGUGCCCCCCCAAAAUAAUAAUAAAUAGAGUUUCGAGACUGGAAUUGCAGAUCUCCUUAUAUGAAAGAAGCCUGGAAGAAAGCUUUUUGAGGGUUUCUUCUUCUUCCAUCUGCCCCCAGAGGGCAGCUCUCAGCUCUUGGCCUUGAAGCUGGAGGGGUCAGGGGAGUCUGUGCAAACUUUGGCCUUUCUGCCCUGGGAGGCGCCAGGCUUCCAAGGCUGCAGGUGGAUGGUAAGUAAAGGGAGGAAGACAAUUUUCUUUUUUUUCUUUUUUUUUUUUGUGGCGAGGAUCAAACCCAAAACCUAUUGGUUACUAGUCGUUUUCCCUGAGCCGCAACGGGAACUCCUGCUGGAUGAUUUUAAAGUGCCGCCAGCUGAGAAGUCCCUGGGGGUCGGGGCUGGGGGAGAGACGAAGCUGCCACUGGGCCGGAGGUACUGGGGGAUUUCAUCAGUAGGGAGCUAGGUUAUCACCUCCUUCCAAAACGUGAGCCUGCGUGGAUACACAGUGCCUUAUGGUCAAAAAGGCAUCAGCAAGUGUGGAGCAGACUGGCUGCUGGGAACCUGGACUGAUAUGUCAGUCUCAGCUUCUUCAGCAGAGGUGGGAUUGUCCUGAGGAGCUGAGGACCCACUGCUCUGUCGUCCACAGGACUCGAGUUUCACAGAAACUCAGCUGAAAGGGGACAUGGGAACAUAGCGACCAUCCUUUCUCACCCCAGGCUGUGCAGGUAAGGAUGUUAAUUUAGAUGGUCCCUGUGUGUGAGGGGACAUAUUGGCAGAAUCUGGGCCAAAUCCAGGGAACCUAGAGAUCUUUUCCUGCCAAGGAGUCAGGAGAGGCCCACAGACAGGCAGGGCUGGCCUGAAAUGAGUUUGCUGUAAUAAAAAUGUUGCAAGACCACAGGGGGAACAACCACCCAGAAAUUCAUGAAAGAACAGGUGGAUGUGAGGGCUGCACAUCCGAACUGAGUUCUCUGGAUAAUGCUUGGGUGUAAUAAGACGAAAAAAAAAAAUCUGAAAAUGAAAAGGUAUAAUGAGAUAUACACAACUGAAGGGAAUUGUCUUAAAUGGCUGAUUGUAAUGAGAUGUACAUAAAUUGUAAGGCUUGUAAUGAAAUGAAAAAAAAAUUUUGCCUGAUAAUACUGGGUGUAAUGUCUACACCUGAAAUAAGUCGUCUCAGUGCACUGAGUGUAAUGAGAUGCACAUAAUUUUAAAGAGUGUAAUGAGAUGAAAAAUAAAUCAAACCCUUGUCUUAAAAUGAAAGAGGUGCUAAGAUGCACACACCUGAAGGGCAUUGGCCUAAAUGGGUUUGGUUUAAUGAGAUGCGUUUAAUUUGCAAAGGGGCUAAAUGAGAUUGGCCCAGGGAGAAGCUGAGAAAUGUAAAAGUGUAAGGUACACUUGAAAGGGAUAUAAUCAAACCUGCCUGGUCUGUGGGAUGGAAAUAAGAGGCCACUGUAGAAAUUCGUGGAGUCGAAGCCAUCGGCACACUCUCUGCCAGGCCUCUCUGACCCUUGGCUGGGACGCUUGGCAAAGUUGAAUUAUCCUCUGUCCGCCAUACGAUGCCAGGCAUACAGUAGGCAUAUGUGGAUGCUCCCUGAAUGUGUAACUGGCUCAGGGGGUUGUAGUGUAUUUAACAAAAGGAGGUUAAAGGGAGGUUAAAACGAGGAACUUCUAAAAGGCAACUGAAAGCUGUUUUCUGAGAGCAAUGUUUCUCAAAGUCUUCAGGCAUCUUGUCUUGGAAUCUGGGAAAAAGUUGGUUGUGAGGCCUAAACUGCAUAUGUAACAAGAAACCCUUAGAGUUCCCGCUGUGGGUUAAGAAUCCAACUGCAGUGGCUAAAGUUGCUUCGGAGGGAGGUGAGGCUUCCAUUCCUGGCCUGGUGCAGUAGGUAAAAGGAUCAGGCGUAGGUGGCAGCUGCAGUUCAUAUUUACUCCCUGGCCUGGAAACUUCUGUGAUGCCAUAAAAAACAAAGCGAGGGGAGUUUCCCUCAUGGCUCAGGGGAAACGAAUUUGACUAGCAUCCAAGAGGACGCAGGUUCGAUCCCUGGCCUCACUCAAUGGGUUAAGGAUCCAGCAUUGCCAUGAGCUGUGGUGUGGGUCACAGACAAGGCUCGGAUCUGGUGUUGCUGUGGCUGUGGUUGGAAGCUGUAGCUACAAUUCGACCCCUAGCCUGGGAACCCUCAUGUGCCGAGGGUGUGGCCCUAAAAAGACCAAAAAAAAAAAAAGAAGAAGCAAGAGAGUUCCUGUUGUGGCUCAGCAGGUUACAAACCCAACUAGUAUCCAUGAGAAUGGGGGUUCAGUCCCUGGCCCUGCACAGUGGAUUAAGGAUCUGGCAUUCCUGUGAGCUGUGGUGUAGGUUGAAGAUAUGGCUGCAAGUGCCGCUCUAAAAAGCAAAAAACGAAAUCAAACCAAAAAGAAAAAAAAAACAAAAAAAAAAAA
Molecule: long non-coding RNA, 5634 nt
Filed under: Sus scrofa (pig)
Lineage: Eukaryota; Metazoa; Chordata; Mammalia; Artiodactyla; Suidae
Description: lncRNA (ENSSSCG00030032513.1)
Source: RNAcentral